This 2897-nucleotide ribosomal RNA is filed under the name Odoribacter sp. OttesenSCG-928-L07. RNAcentral's name for it is "23S ribosomal RNA". It matches the Rfam family "Bacterial large subunit ribosomal RNA". The record is from RNAcentral. Lineage: Bacteria; Pseudomonadati; Bacteroidota; Bacteroidia; Bacteroidales; Odoribacteraceae.
GAGCAAAAAAACGUAAGGGCGUACGGCGGAUGCCUAGGCUCUCAGAGGCGAAGAAAGACGUGACAAGCUGCGAAAAGCUGCGGGGAGGUGCAAAUAACCAUAGAUCCGCGGAUAUCUGAAUGGGGCAACCCGGUAGCAUGAAGUGCUAUCAUCCAAUUUAAGGAGGCAAACGUGGGGAACUGAAACAUCUCAUUACCCAUAGGAAAAGAAAACAAAAGUGAUUCCGCAAGUAGUGGUGAGCGAACGCGGAGAAGCCCAAACCAGAGUUAUUACGGUAACUUUGGGGUUCGGACUGCGAUGUGGACUUAUAUAUUUUAUAUGAACGAGGCUGGAAAGCCUGAUCGAAGAGGGUGAUAAUCCCGUAAUAGACAUUAUAUAUAUACCUAGCAGUAUCCAGAGUAGCGCGGGACCGGAGAAAUCCUGUGUGAAUGUGCCGGCACCAUCCGGUAAGGCUAAAUACUCCUGAGAGACCGAUAGUGAACCAGUACUGUGAAGGAAAGGUGAAAAGAACCGCUAGCAGCGGAGUGAAAUAGACCCUGAAACCGUACGCUUACAGACUGUAGGAGCCACGAGAUGUGGUGACUGCGUGCCUUUUGCAUAAUGAGCCUACGAGUUAUUAAGGUUGGCAAGGGUAAGAGACAAUAGUUUUGUACCCGAAGCGAAAGCGAGUCCUAAUAGGGCAUUUAGUCAAUCUGAAUAGACGCGAAACCAAGUGAUCUACCCAUGGUCAGGAUGAAGUUUUGGUAACACAACAUGGAGGUCCGAACCCGUUGACGUUGAAAAGUCUUGGGAUGAAUUGUGGGUAGGGGUGAAAGGCUAAUCAAACUUGGAAAUAGCUCGUACUCCCCGAAAUGCCUUUAGGGGCAGCCUCUAUAUAAUUUUGCCGGAGGUAAAGCUACUGAUUGAAUGCGGGGGCUUCACCGCCUACCAAAUUCAGACAAACUCAGAAUGCCGGUAAAAGAUAAUAGGGAGAGAGGGCAUGGGUGCUAAGGUCCAUGUCCGAGAGGGAAAGAACCCAGACUAUUGGCUAAGGUCCCCAAAUAUAUGUUAAGUUGAAUUAACGAGGUGCUACUGCUUUGACAGCUAGGAUGUUGGCUUGGAAGCAGCCAUUCAUUUAAAGAGUGCGUAACAGCUCACUAGUCGAGCGGUAGUGCGUGGAUAAUAAUCGGGCAUAAACAUAUUACCGAAGCCAUAGAUUUGCACAGAUAAUGUGUAAGUGGUAGGGGAGCAUUCCAACAGCGCCGAAGGUGAAUCGUGAGGUUUGCUGGAGCGGUUGGAAAAGAAAAUGUAGGCAUAAGUAACGAUAAUGGGGGAGAGAAACCCCCACACCGAAAGACUAAGGUUUCCUGAUCAACGCUAAUCGGAUCAGGGUUAGUCGGGACCUAAGGCGUAACCCGAAGGGGGAAGUCGAUGGACAGUCAGUUAAUAUUCUGACACUUAUUUAUAUUAGUGAAGGUAUGACGAAGUAGUGACAUGUUCGCGUGCUGACGGAAUAGCACGUUAAAGCUUGUAGAUAUAUCGAAUAUAGUAAAAAGCGUAUUUGAUGUCGAAGGUGAUAGUACCGAGAGUCUACGGAUGAUUGGAUAGUAACAGUAAUCAGACUUCCGAGAAAAUUAUCUAAGCGUUAUAAAGUAUAAAUAACCCGUACCGUAAACCGACACAGGUAGUCGAGGAGAGAAUCCACAGGUGCUCGAGAGAUUCAUGGCUAAGGAACUAGGCAAAUUAGCUCCGUAACUUCGGGAUAAGGGGCGCCACAGCGAUGUGGCCGCAGAGAAACGGCCCAGGCGACUGUUUAACAAAAACACAUGGCUUUGCGAAAUAGAAAUAUGAAGUAUAAGGCCUGACACCUGCCCGGUGCCGGAAGGUUAAGAGGAGAUGUCAUAUCGUAAGGUAGAAGCAUUGAAUUGAAGCCCCGGUAAACGGCGGCCGUAACUAUAACGGUCCUAAGGUAGCGAAAUUCCUUGUCGGGUAAGUUCCGACCUGCACGAAUGGUGUAACGAUCUGGGCGCUGUCUCAGCCAUGAUCUCGGUGAAAUUGUAGACCCGGUGAAGAUGCCGGGGACCCGCAACGGGACGAAAAGACCCCGUGAACCUUCACUACAGCUUAACAUUGGUUUUGGGUAAACGAUGUGUAGGAUAGCCGGGAGACAGAGAAGCAGUCACGCUAGUGAUUGUGGAGUCAUCCUUGAAAUACCGGCCUUUGUUUAUUUGACAUCUAAUCCUUUAUAUAGGGAGACAUUGUUUGGUGGGUAGUUUGACUGGGGUGGUCGCCUCCAAAAGCGUAACGGAGGCUUCCCAAGGUACCCUCAGGAUGGUUGGCAACCAUUCGCAGAGUGUAAUAGUAUAAGGGUGCUUGACUGAGAGACAAACAAGUCGACCAGGUAGGAAACUAGGGUAUAGUGAUCCGGUGGUUCCGUAUGGAAGGGCCAUCGCUCAAAGGAUAAAAGGUACUCCGGGGAUAACAGGCUGAUCCCUCCCAAGAGCUCACAUCGACGGAGUGGUUUGGCACCUCGAUGUCGGCUCGUCACAUCCCGGGGCUGGAGAAGGUCCCAAGGGUUGGGCUGUUCGCCCAUUAAAGUGGCACGCGAGCUGGGUUCAGAACGUCGCGAGACAGUUCGGUCUCUAUCUGUUGUGGGCGUAUGAAUUUUGCGUGGAGCUGACUCUAGUACGAGAGGACCGAGUUGGACAAACCUCCGGUUUACCUGUUGUGACGCCAGUUGCAUAGCAGGGUAGCCGCGUUUGGAUUAGAUAAGUGCUGAAAGCAUCUAAGCACGAAACUAGCCACAAGAUAAGAAUUCAGAAUAAGGGUCGUUCGAGACUAGGACGUAGAUAGGUUGCAGAUGUAUAGGCAGUAAUGUCACAGUCGAGCAAUACUAAUUACCCGGACUUUUUGUUCGA